AUGGGAACUCCUCUUCAUUGUAGUUUUGAUUUGCAUUUCUCUAAUAAUUACUGAUUUUGAUCAUCUUUUCAUGUGUUUUUUUGGCCAUCUAUUUGUCAUCUUCAGAGAAAUGUCUAUUUAGAUCUUUGGCCCACUUUUUUAUUAGGUUUGUCUUUUUUUGGUAUAGAGCUAAAUGAGCUAUUUGUAUAUUUUGGAGAUUAAUCCCUUGGUAACUUUAUUUGCAAAUAUUUUCUCCUAUUCUAUAGGUUGGCUUUUUGUCUUGUUUAUAGUUUCUUUGCUGUGCAAAAGUUUUCAAGUUUCUUAGGUUCCAUUUGUUUAUUUUUAAUUUUCAUUACUCUAAGAUGUAGGACAAAAGUGUUCUGCCUAUGUUUUCCUCUAAGAGUUUUAUAAUAUCCAGCCUUCAGUUAGAUCUUUAAUCCAUUCUGAGUUUAUUUUUGUGUAUGGUGUUAGAGAAUGUUCAAAUCUCAUUCUUUUACUUGUAGUUGUCCAGUUUUCCCAGCACCACUCAUUGAAGAUACUGUCUUCUCUCCAUUGUAUAUUCUUUGUCAUAGAUUAAUUGACUGUAAGUGUGUGGAUUUAUUUUGGGCUUUCCAUCUCGUUCAGUUGAUUUCUGUUUCUGUUUCUGUGCCAGUACCAUAUCAUUUUGAUGAGCAUAGCUUUUUCAUAUAGUCUGAAGACAGGGAGCCUGAUUCCUUCAGCUCCUUUUUUAUUUCCCAGGAUUGCUUUGGCUAUUUGGGGUCUUUUUUAUUUCCAUACAAAUUAAAAAUUUUUUUGUUCUAAUUCUGUGAAAAAUGUCAUUGGUAAUUUGAUAGAGAUUGCACUGAAUCUGUAGAUUGCCUUGCCUACUGCUGUUUCAUGAGAUUUUCUUCCAAAUGAACUACUUGCUCAGAGUCUACUUUUGAGGAAACUUAGACAAAGACAUAGAGGCUCAGAGAGCUAAAAUACCAGGUGAAGGUCACACAACUGGUUAAUAGCAGAGUUGGGAUCCAAACACAAGUCUGUUGUGCUUAAUUCCUUGUGAAUGAUUGCUUAUUUUAUUCUAUAUAAAAUAAAACAUUAUCUUCUGAUUUCCAGUGGCACCAUAGAUGUUACAUCUAUAGCACAUGUAGGUAUAAUUUCUUUCACAUAGUUUACAUAUAAUAUAAACAUAUAAGUUUAUAUGUAAGUAUUGGUCUUAUAGAAGGAAGUUGAGUGUAGAGUUUAGGACCCUGAACUCUGCCAUCUAAUGGCUGUUGUUUGCAUUCUGCUCAGCACUUAACAAACUCAUUUUGCACUAGUGAAUCUCUGUAUGCCUCUACUUUUCCUCAUGGGUAAAAUGGGAAUAAAAAUUAGAAGGUUACUGGGAAGAUUAAUUAAAGUAUUCAUUAUGCUCUACCAAUGCCCUACCAGGAAUGUUCAGUACAGUCCUUGGCACAUCCUAAAUCCACCAGAACUGUUAGCUACUGCUAAUCCUAUCAUUGUAAUUAUACUAAUCAUCCUGCUUUAUCUUCAAGCUCUCCUGAGUAAUAGUGUAUAUGUUAUCAUUCCCUUUGUCUAGAAGGGGAAACUGAGAUUAAAAUAAAUCAAGAAGUUUAAGUGAGAGGGUAGAUUGUAGAGCAGUUAUUGAGAUACUUCUUAACUAGUCAUUUUAAUAGGCUCAUACUUUUGACAUCUGUUUCUUUUCAAUUAAUAAGACUAUUUUGAAUCUGAACAUGGAUAAAGCUAGUAGAAAUUUGAGCUAAACAAAUGAUGAAGUGAAUAACCUGAAGCAAAUCUCAAGAUUUUGGGGCCAUAUUUGCCUUUGAAUAGCUACCAGUGGUUCUACCUGGAGGUGUCCAUCUAAACUCCUAUAGUUCCUAUCUUAAGAAUCUAUGGACAGUCCCCAGCAACUCCCUUGUAAUGGACUGAAUAUGUCCCUCAAAAGCCAUACAUUGAAAUCCUACCCCUGGUGUGAUGGUUCUGGCAUCCUUGGAUGCCUUUAAGGUUAGAUGAAGUCAGGAGAGUGGAGCCCUUGUGAAUGGAAUUAGCACCCUUAUAACAGUCACCUGAGUGCUUGCUUCCUUUUUCUGCUCUCCACUAUGUGAGGACACAUCAACAGGUUGGUAGCCUGCAAUCUGAAAGAGGGUCCUUACUGUGCAGACACUUCCUAUCUCCAGAAUUGUGAGAAAUAAAUUUCUGUUGUUUAUAAGCCACCCAGUUUAUGGUGUUUUGUUAUAGCAGCCUGAGCUGACAAGACAUUCCCCCAAAGCAGGAAACUCCCUGAUGCAAAGGUUCUUAAUCUGGGGCUUAUCGGUUCACUGAGAAAUGAUAAGGAAUUAUAAAUUUUAUUCUCAUGAGAGACAUUGUAGCUUUCCUCAGCUUCUUAAAGGGUUCUGCGAUCUCCCCAAGGUUAAGAACAAUUGCUUUAGGCUAUGAUGCUUUAUUGGAAUUGGCACAAAACUGUUAUCCUCAUGGUAGAUUGUGAUGACCAACCUUGUUUUUAUCCAUGUUUCUCAUAUUCCACAGUAUCAGACAAGUCAGGGAAUAUUAGAGCUGGAGUGACCACUAAUACCAUCUCAACCCCAAAUCUAUCACAUUAAAAAGCAGGAGACUAUGGCCCCAAAUUACUAUAAGACAAUCUGAAUAUAAUGGUUUAUUUUAUUUUAAAAAAAUGUCAUUUUUUUUUUUUUUUUUUUUUAGCUUUAGUUACAGUUCAAGUCUAUCUGAUCACAGUGUGACUGUCAUUUCAGUCCACUGGGUUCUGUUGAAUUGUAGACUUAAAAUUAUAUUCUAAACUUUUUUAGUCCAAAUGCAAACUCUUCUGCCCCAAAUAAAAUUUACUCCGUACUUUUCACGUAAGAUUUUAGGACUUUGAACAUUUUUCAUUUAGCCAAAAAUGGUCAUGUUUCUUCCAUUUAGAUAUUUGUUUUAGAAAAGUUUACAGGCCUAAAAAAAAGGUAAAAGUCACAUUUUUGAAUUCUUCUUCCUCUUCGUUGUCCCCAGCAAAUUUACAUAUUAUAAUCAAAGCCAAGAUGAUGAAGGGAAUUUGAAUGAAGAACAUUGCUUUACAAGAAACUGUUUCAAGAAUACACCAUUUUCACAGAGUUAAAAACAUUUUUAAAUGUACAUAAUUAAAACAUGCUUGUUCUUAUUAAAUGAACAACAUGUUUUGUCCAAGUUAUCUGUAAUUCACACUAAAACUGUGCAAUGUGGGCUUUAUUUUUUCCAUUUUAUAAAUAGUGAAACUGGCUGCACUUAAGCAACUUGGCAAGGUUAAUGAGUUAUAAAUGCCAGAGGUAGGAUUUGAACCCAGGCAUGACUGCUCCUUCUACUCUAUCACACUGCUUCUUCCCCUCAGGAAGGAAGGAAAGGGCUGUUUUCAGAGGUUGCUAUAUGAGAUUUUCCUAACAGAAGUUAGGCUUUACUGAGAAAUUACUUAUCCUAAGUUUUAUUACCUCUUUGAGAUACAUCAGUUAUUUUUUCAGAUGCAGAUUGAAUUGAAUUCAUUUAAAUGAUCAAAAUGUAUUAUAGUGAAACAAUGAUACUAUAAUUUGUGAAGAUUGGAAAAUUCAAUUUAGACACAUAAAAAAUUCAAACACUGAUGGUAAUUUAAUGUAAAGACAAACAUAAAGCAAAGAGAAAAUUUUAGAACCUGAAUUUCCUGUGAGGUAGGGCAUAUUUGAAAGUGAAAUAAGAACAGUCUGAAUUUAAGAGACAUGGAUGAGGUCCCCACACUUAGUAGGCUGUAUGAGGUCAGUGAGAUCAACUGUCAAAUAAAAAUAAAAAUAUCAAUCAAUUGUUUUAUAUAAACAUUUAACCAAAAUGGAAUUAUGAUUGGGUGAGUCACAGGGUUUUACAUAUUCAAUCAACAGAUGUUCAUUACUACUCUGUACUAGCCUCUGAGGAUUUGGUGGUAAAUAGGAGAGAAGGAGCGACACUGUGCUCAUUGAGAACUUCCGUUCCUGGGUGGGGAUACCAGUGGCUGGAUAAUGAGGUACAGUCCUGUGUGCUAUGUAUUAAUGACAGCAGAGUGUUGUAUGCCAUGGAAAUAGAUGGGAGGCUAUUGAAUCCAGAUUGGUUAAGUUGGGAAGUCAGUCAGGUGAAUAGGGGCCAAAUGUGUAAAGGAAUCAUCCAAUGAGAAGGAAUGGCAUUGAUUAGUCCUCUAGAAAAAAAAUAUAGCAUGACAUAUUAAAGUACAAAAAGAGGGGCAGUAUGGCUAGACUGAAGAGCGAGAGUAGGAUAGGGUAUCUUUGUCGGAAAAGCGGCAACAUAUCAGGGCAAUUUUAAGACAUUUGUGUCCCUAGGCACUUUUACCUUUUACCUCGAAGAUCUUAUUUCACACUAUAUCGGCACAUAUCCCAUGUUAACUAUAUUUCAUCAAAAAGUCAUAAGCAUUGUAUUGAAUAACAAUUGAAUAGUUGACAAAAUGUGCUGGGAGCCGAGUUUCAAGAAUGGAAUCCACCUGAUGACAAAGUCCAAGGGAUUCUGAAGAAUGUUAUGUUCUGUGGAAAUUUCAUGAAAUAUUUGCUAAAUUUGAUAUCAAUUCUGUUAUAUAUAUAUAUAUUUUUUUUUCUUUUUUUCUUUUUGCCAUUUCUUGAGCCACUCCCGCAGCAUAUGGAGGUUCCCAGGCUAGGGGUCUAAUCGGAGCUAUAGCCGCCAGCCUAUGCCGGAGCCAUAGCAACGUGGGAUCUGAAUCGCGUCUGUGACCUACACCACAACUCAUGGCAACACCAGAUCUUUAACCCACUGAGCAAGGGCAGGGAUCGAACCCGCAACCUCCUGGUUCCUAGUCGGAUUCAUUAACCACUGAGCCAUGACGGGAACUCCCUGUUUUCUAUUUUGAAGCCAGCUUUCUAUUCAGCUUUUAAACCUUUCCACAGAAACUUAAGGAAAUUGGGGAUUCCAGGUACCACAUCCAUUGGAGCCAUUGGAUGGAACCAUAUGACUGACGAAGGACCAGAAAGAAAAAGUCUUGCAAUGAUGUUAAACCAUUUUUGUCAUGGGGCAAUGGGAAACCACAUCAAGCUUUCAGCAGUGGAGAAACAUUUCAGAAUUGCAGUUUAGAAACAGCAUUCUGGCUGCAGUUAUAGAAUGCGUUGAAGGGGAGUACAAGGAAUGUAUCAGAGUGGGGAUCGGAAUGAGGAUGUUGGAAGCUUGCUGCAAAGCUUGCUUGCUUGAAGUUAUGAGAAAGAGCAGAAUUUUAACUCUGCAGGAUAGCAGUCAGAUGAGGUACUAGUGAUUUAGACUGAAAAGAAAGCUUUUCUUUGGUCCUCGAACAAAAGUCCUUAUCAUCUGACUUUUUGGUGGGGUCAUGCAUUAGACCUGAUAUACCUUGUAAAUGUCAGAAUGAGAUGAAUAAAAAAAGCUGACUGAACAAUGGUUUGCAGCUCUAUGGCCAGUGGACCCAUGGGUCCAUUUGAAUGUGUCUGUAGGCAGAUGAUUGCCUUCAGGACUUCAGAAGUGCAUUAAUGGAGAUCACUUAGUGGGGAUCUGAAUCCUAAAAUGUCCAUGUUUAUUAAGAGGUAAAUGCUUUUUCUUUUCAUUCUUCUAUUGUAACCUAACAUAACAGGUAACAUCCCAGGCACACGGCUAUAGUGCAUGGCACUCUCUCACCUGUGUUAAUGCUCCCUGCUCAUUUAUGUGACUCUGCCAGGAGGCUGUUUGUCUUUGUGGCAGGCCCAAAAGAGCUGCUUUCCUCUUUCUUUCUUUCUUUCUUUCUUUCUUUCUUUCUUUCUUUCUUUCUUUCUUUCUUUCUUUCUUAGAUCAAAUCUAUCUGGAAUUUAAGAGUCACAAGAGAGCUUGUGUGCCUUGCUUUUUACUUUGUGUAAAUGGGUGUUGGUUAUGAAGGAUGGCAGUUGUAUGCCACCCCCAAAUUUGCCACUUUGGCAUAAGGAUUAUUUUGAGCUAAAGGCAUUUAAAAAAAAAUAGCAGAAGUAAAAAGGGCAUUCUAAUUGCUCCUUUUAUUCCUACAAAUAGGACAAAUAAACUCCUGAGUGAAAGAUCUCCUCCUUGAACAGAAGAAAUAAACAUUCUUUGAUGGGGUCAAAUCUCUGAGAAUUCUGUACAAACAAUCAUUUAAAAUAAUUCUUAUCUUCAUUUGGCCUCUGCAUAAAUUUUAGUUACUUUUCCAUGAUUGCUUUUCUUUGUUCGACCUGAUAUAAAAUAUGUAGGGUUCACUAUUCUUUGGAUCUUCUUUUCAGUCUGAGGGCUUUUAUGUCACAUAAAAUUUGUAUAAAUGUGUAUUUUUCCUCCUGUUAAUCUGUUUUACGUCAGAUUAAUUCUCAGGCUCAGCCGAAAAAACCCUGAGCGUGUAGAGGUAAAAACUUGCUUCUCCUACAGUUACAUACUAUGUUUAUAUUUUUUAUUUCCAAUUUUUCAGGAAAUAACAACUUCUAGGAUGUAAAUAAUUAUAUAACUGCCUGAGACUCAGAGGAAAUUGUAACCAAACUCAUUUCAAGAUGUGUUUAUUGAGUGCGUAGCCCUAUGUUGCAAACAAUAUUAGAAAAAAAAAUAAUUUCAUAACUUGCUCCCUGCCCUAUUGACAAUUUUGAUUUGGGAGAAGUUGAGAGUUAGACCUAAAAAA
This 6541-nucleotide long non-coding RNA is filed under the name Sus scrofa (pig). Its description in RNAcentral is "lncRNA (ENSSSCG00055012150.1)". The record is from RNAcentral. Lineage: Eukaryota; Metazoa; Chordata; Mammalia; Artiodactyla; Suidae.